This 625-nucleotide long non-coding RNA is filed under the name Homo sapiens (human). Its description in RNAcentral is "non-protein coding lnc-AMELY-25:1". Lineage: Eukaryota; Metazoa; Chordata; Mammalia; Primates; Hominidae. The record is from RNAcentral.
GGUGCCAGGGGCGGGGGGUGAGCAGCUCAGACCUUGGUCUGUGGGAGCCCUAGGAGGGCACCGUGUUAAGUCUGGAGGCUCUGCCGGAGAGGGCAGCCUGGGGGGAAGAGGUGUGCUACUGGUGGAUGACAUCACGGCAGAGGUGGAAGUGGUGGCCAAGGAGGAGGCCGACGUGGAGCAGCAGCAGGAGGACCACUGGGCAGAACCUGUCCCUGGCCCCAGGAGGCCCCGGCCCGCAACGGACUCGCUGGAGGUCCAUCAUUUGCAGCUGGGCUCUGUAAAUGCCCUUCUUUCUCCCUCUUGGCCAGGGAGGUGGAGGAACUCAGCCACCCCGGGUACCGGCAUCAGGAUGAAGUUUUCCUUUUGUCACAAUCUUUACUUCCACAAUGAAGUGGUCAUUCAGGAGUACUGUGUUGGCAUCCUCGAAACUGGGUGUCUCAUUCCACUGCAGUCCAGUGGUUGUGGGAUCAUGAAGGUUAAGCCUCCAGCUUCAGGCAGUGCACCUCCAUGUGACCUUCUUCAGCUAGUUGGCUGACCAUGGCUACCCAGGUCCCGGCAGGAUUGCUGAGUCCCCCAAUCAUCAGCCAGGGCCUGUGGCUCAAUCCCCUGCAGUACUUCCUGAGGG